CAGUCGCCGCGGUAAUACGUAGGUGGCAAGCGUUGUCCGGAAUUAUUGGGCGUAAAGCGCGCGCAGGCGGAUAGGUCAGUCCGUCUUAAAAGUUCGGGGCUUAACCCCGUGAUGGGAUGGAAACUGCCAAUCUAGAGUAUCGGAGAGGAAAGUGGAAUUCCUAGUGUAGCGGUGAAAUGCGUAGAUAUUAGGAAGAACACCAGUGGCGAAGGCGACUUUCUGGACGAAAACUGGCGCUGAGGCGCGAAAGCCAGGGGAGCAAACAGGAUUAGAUACCCCGGUAGUCCCUGUCUCUUAUACC
Molecule: ribosomal RNA, 301 nt
Filed under: uncultured bacterium
Lineage: Bacteria
Description: partial 16S ribosomal RNA
Rfam family: Bacterial small subunit ribosomal RNA
Source: RNAcentral